This 556-nucleotide ribosomal RNA is filed under the name uncultured Burkholderiales bacterium. Its description in RNAcentral is "bacterial SSU rRNA". It matches the Rfam family "Bacterial small subunit ribosomal RNA", at positions 90 to 632 of the family's 1533-position model. Lineage: Bacteria; Pseudomonadati; Pseudomonadota; Betaproteobacteria; Burkholderiales. The record is from RNAcentral.
GACGAGUGGCGAACGGGUGAGUAAUACAUCGGAACGUGCCCAGUAAUGGGGGAUAGCCCGGCGAAAGCCGGAUUAAUACCGCAUACGACCUAUGGGUGAAAGCAGGGGAUUGCUUGGCAACAAGUGACCUUGCGUUAUUGGAGCGGCCGAUGGCAGAUUAGGUAGUUGGUGGGGUAAAAGCCUACCAAGCCUGCGAUCUGUAGCUGGUCUGAGAGGACGACCAGCCACACUGGGACUGAGACACGGCCCAGACUCCUACGGGAGGCAGCAGUGGGGAAUUUUGGACAAUGGGCGCAAGCCUGAUCCAGCCAUGCCGCGUGCGGGAAGAAGGCCUUCGGGUUGUAAACCGCUUUUGUCAGGGAAGAAACGCUCUGGGCUAAUAUCCUGGGGUAAUGACGGUACCUGAAGAAUAAGCACCGGCUAACUACGUGCCAGCAGCCGCGGUAAUACGUAGGGUGCAAGCGUUAAUCGGAAUUACUGGGCGUAAAGCGUGCGCAGGCGGUCUUGCAAGACAGAUGUGAAAUCCCCGGGCUCAACCUGGGAACUGCAUUUGUGA